ACGGCGAGUGAAGCGGUAACAGCUCAAAUUUGAAAUCUGGCCUCACGGUCCGAGUUGUAAUUUGUAGAGGAUGCUUCGAGCAUGGUCUGGCCUAAGUUCCUUGGAACAGGACGUCAUAGAGGGUGAGAAUCCCGUAUGCGGCCAGGUGCCUACGCUCAUGUGAAGCUCCUUCGACGAGUCGAGUUGUUUGGGAAUGCAGCUCAAAAUGGGUGGUAAAUUUCAUCUAAAGCUAAAUAUUGGCCAGAGACCGAUAGCGCACAAGUAGAGUGAUCGAAAGAUGAAAAGCACUUUGGAAAGAGAGUUAAACAGUACGUGAAAUUGUUGAAAGGGAAGCGCUUGCAACCAGACUUGCGCGCGGCCGAUCAUCCGGUGUUCUCACCGGUGCACUCGGCCGUGCUCAGGCCAGCAUCGGUUUUGGCGGCUGGAUAAAGGCCCUAGGAAUGUAGCUCCUCUCGGGGAGUGUUAUAGCCUAGGGUGCAAUGCAGCCUGCUGGGACCGAGGACCGCGCUUCGGCUAGGAUGCUGGCGUAAUGGUUGUAAGCGGCCCGUCUUGAAACACGGACCAAGGAGUCUAACAUCUAUGCGAGUGUUUGGGUGUCAAACCCAUACGCGUAAUGAAAGUGAACGGAGGUGAGAACCCUUAAGGGUGCAUCAUCGACCGGUCCUGAAGUUUACGGAAGGAUCUGAGUAAGAGCAUAGCUGUUGGGACCCGAAAGAUGGU
RNAcentral lists this ribosomal RNA (720 nucleotides) under Pseudogymnoascus sp. RNAcentral's name for it is "partial large subunit ribosomal RNA". It matches the Rfam family "Eukaryotic large subunit ribosomal RNA", at positions 86 to 827 of the family's 3401-position model. The record is from RNAcentral. RNAcentral also lists the same sequence under 1 other name. Lineage: Eukaryota; Fungi; Ascomycota; Leotiomycetes; Thelebolales; Thelebolaceae.